GUCAGGCGUGGUGGCGCACGCCUGUCAUCCCAGCGGCUCGGGAGGCUGAGACAGAAGGAUUGCGAGUUCCAAGUCAGCUUCAGCCAAAAAAAAAAAACCGAGGCGCUCAGCGGCUCUCAGUGAGUCCCUGUCUCAA
RNAcentral lists this non-coding RNA (136 nucleotides) under Leptotrombidium deliense. Lineage: Eukaryota; Metazoa; Arthropoda; Arachnida; Trombidiformes; Trombiculidae. The record is from RNAcentral.